Long non-coding RNA from Cygnus olor (mute swan), 709 nucleotides. RefSeq lists it as uncharacterized. The transcript is spliced from 2 exons. Lineage: Eukaryota; Metazoa; Chordata; Aves; Anseriformes; Anatidae. The record is from RefSeq and is a predicted model, not a curated record.
UAAGGCGAGGUAGUGGUGGUCAGGUCUGGAAGGCAAGGAGUGCUGGGUGACAGUGACAGGGGAGAUCUCAGGAGUGGUAAAACAGGGCAAAAGGAUGCCCACUUCAAUCUGCAGUCUGGGAAAGAGGUAGGAGGAACCAGAGCUCCACCAAACUAUGAUGUCAUUGGGAUAACUGAGAUGUCAUGAGAUAGCUUGCUUAGAGGACUGCUGUACUGCAAUGGGCAGAUACCAGCUCUUCAGGAGAGACAGGCUAGGAGGACAAGUGGGACUUGCCCUCUACGUGCGGGAGCACUUCAGAUGCAGUGAACUCUCCUAUGGGCCAGACAACAGCCUGCAUGAGAGCUUUUGUGUCAGGAUCAGGAGAGGCUGGCAAGGAUGGCACCUUAGCAGGGGAAGGUCUCCUAUGCAUCUGUGCUCAGAGGCAGGCUUGAAGAAAGGAAAUUUCAAUUCUCUUCAAACUCCUGAAUUUUAUUCAAGGCAGUGGAUGAGAGUAAAGUCAGUGACUACCUGACAGGACUUGAACUAUACACAUAUGCUGCAUCUGAGGAAGCUUAAGGAGCUGCCCAGUGUAUAUGCAAGUUUAUUUUCUGUCAUCUUCAAAAUGUUGUGGAGAUCAGGAGAGGUAACCCAUGAAAAACUAUGAAGGCAAACACAAUGCACAUGUCAAAAACAAACAAAUAAAAAACAAAGAAGCAAGCAAGCAAACAAA